AGUUUGAUCCUGGCUCAGGACGAACGCUGGCGGCGUGCUUAACACACGCAAGUCGAACGGAAAGGCCCUUCGGGGUGCUCGAGUGGCGAACGGGUGAGUAACACGUGGGUGAUCUGCCCUGCACUUUGGGAUAAGCCUGGGAAACUGGGUCUAAUACCGGAUAGGACCAUGGCCUUCAUGGGUUGUGGUGGAAAGCUUUUGCGGUGUGGGAUGGGCCCGCGGCCUAUCAGCUUGUUGGUGGGGUAAUGGCCUACCAAGGCGACGACGGGUAGCCGGCCUGAGAGGGUGACCGGCCACACUGGGACUGAGAUACGGCCCAGACUCCUACGGGAGGCAGCAGUGGGGAAUAUUGCACAAUGGGCGCAAGCCUGAUGCAGCGACGCCGCGUGGGGGAUGACGGCCUUCGGGUUGUAAACCUCUUUCAGCACAGACGAAGCGUGAGUGACGGUAUGUGCAGAAGAAGCACCGGCCAACUACGUGCCAGCAGCCGCGGUAAUACG
Molecule: ribosomal RNA, 500 nt
Filed under: bacterium enrichment culture
Lineage: Bacteria
Description: bacterial SSU rRNA
Rfam family: Bacterial small subunit ribosomal RNA
Source: RNAcentral